GCUGGGUGUGGUGGUCCACACCUGUAAUCCCAGCACUUGGGAGGCUGAGGUAAGAGGAUCACUUGAGUCUGGAGUUUGAGACUAUGCUGGGCAGCAUAACAACACCCUGUUCUAAACAAAACAGAGCACAG
Molecule: small RNA, 131 nt
Filed under: Marmota monax (woodchuck)
Lineage: Eukaryota; Metazoa; Chordata; Mammalia; Rodentia; Sciuridae
Source: RNAcentral